GUUCGAGAACGUGGCACUGGAAACUUCUUGCUUUGGAGACAGAGAUGAAAUGUGCGAGUGAUGUUAUUUGUUGUAUUAAAGCAAGUAUUUAAGUGCUACUUUAAAUAAUAGAUUCUAUGAAUAAGUAUUAUAAAUACCAUUAAUAAAUAGACACGCACAUUGGGUUAACUGAGUGACAGGAUAAUUUUGGUAGCAUCGAUUUCGCACGUGUACUUUUCCACGUGGGGGCACGCGAGCCAUUUUAAUCAUGGUCAUUCUGAGAGGGACUGUCAUCUUGCCAAACGCACGCGAUCUGGAACCUUCUUGUUCAUUCAUUCGCUCGUCAUCUCUUUCAUAGUGAUGUGUCAUGCGUACGCGUUGCGCAAACGUUAGACGAAAAUUGAUGUGUAUUAUAAAAAGAAAGAAAGUGUCAUCGUGCCAUUUUCAGUUGCCUCGAAAAACUCACGAAAAUCUUCGAGUGCGCGCAACGACGCAGAUAUAUUUAGACGUGGAGCGUCGUCGCCAGUGGCGCUUGUCGCUUAUAAGCACUGUGACAUAGUUUUCGCAUAAUCACAAUCAACGACGCCUUCAAACCGGGAUCGCUCGCACGUUUAAUUUCGUAUUUCCACGAAGAGGCGCGUGCCACGCGUGUUUUCCGUCACUCGAAUUCUUCCUUGGUUUGGUUAAAAGUGAAAGUUUCAUUCGACGAGUCACAAACUAAAUCUUCGAAACGUUUGACGCUGUGCCGAGUCCGCAAAUAUCUACUCUUAAAAAAGGAACCUCCCCUAACGUCAAGAAAAUAAUAUAAAUACGUUCUAAACUGUUUACAUCGAAAAGUAACUUUAUUUUGUCUGAAUCUAGAAUAAGUAUACCCAAAAAAUUUUAAACAAAAGAAUAUAACACUUAUUUAAACCUUCAA
Hylaeus volcanicus is the source of this 898-nucleotide long non-coding RNA. RefSeq lists it as uncharacterized. The record is from RefSeq and is a predicted model, not a curated record. The transcript is spliced from 2 exons. NCBI's taxonomy places the organism in Eukaryota, Metazoa, Arthropoda, Insecta, Hymenoptera, Colletidae.